Molecule: long non-coding RNA, 1898 nt
Organism: Polyodon spathula (Mississippi paddlefish)
Lineage: Eukaryota; Metazoa; Chordata; Actinopteri; Acipenseriformes; Polyodontidae
Exons: 4
Source: RefSeq, a predicted model, not a curated record
UCAAUAACAACAAAAAAUGGCGAUAGUCACGUUGUUGCAAGUGGUGUUGCUGCGUCAUUAGAAAAUAUUGCUUCAAACACGUGUACGAAACUGGAAAACCGAGGGGAAAAGCGGGGUCCGAGGCGGCGGGUGUAGGUACCGACACGAUAUACUGAAAGAUGUAUAGAAACGGGGUUGAUCUUGUUUUUAACGGGUUUGUUUACCAUUUUUGGCUGCCAAGGGGGUGUGUUAACAAUGCUGGGCGUUAGAAUUUGGCUGCACACAUCAUAUCUCUUAAGUGCAGCAUUAGCCUUGUCUUCAUAAUUAUAUAAUGACCGGUAGUGUGUUGUUAUUUUUUUUUUUGUAUUCUCUUUAAUGUUGUAUUUUACACGCUGGAUCGGUGUAUGAUUUAUACUUCGCCACAAACAUCGUGACAGAUCGCACAUAACAUAGGCAGCCAGGGCGUCAGUAAUUUAAUCAUCCGUGAUUAUAAAAUCGGGUACUGUUUUGAUAAAAUGUAUAAAAUGGAUACCGCCUUUUACUGUGGACUUGCUUUUCGUACUCAGCCUAGGUGUUUAAUUUCAGUAUAAUCUAGUAUGUACAGAGUUUAGUAUCCUUACUGUAUAACUUGUUAUCUGUGCAGUUUAGCAAUGAAUCCUAAUGUAAACGGUAGUAAAAAUUGACAUAUGUACAUUUUUUAUUUAUUUUAUUUUUUUUGGAGGGGGGGAUUGCUGCGACACGUUUGCUUUCAUGAUUGCACAGUUGUUGUUGUUAAUGUUUUUUUGGCAGCUGACCCUUAAAAUGUCCUGUGAUUGCCAACAUAACAAACUGAGUUGUUUACAUGAAGGAUCCGGCAAAGCGGGCGGAGUCGAGGGGGGGAGGCUGCGGAGGGAGACUCGGACUGGGACACUGGUUCCCGAGUCCAGGGUUGUUUCGGUCCGGGUUCACACAGAUCCGCAUUGUUGCCACAAAGCCCUGAAUUCCAGGAUGCCAGUGCUUAUCAGCCCUUCUGCUUGCAUGGUACUGUACUGAUGAACAGCAGACUCCUUUUCUUCUUAAAGCCCGGGACCGCUUCAACAGAUGUCUCUACUGACCUCGAAGAACUGAGACGCAGUAUUACAGUAAUCACUGAAUGCUGACUAGGGGGAGCUACAUGCACAUAAUGCAGCUGAGAGGUUGCUGUGAACAGAGAUACAUAAAAAAUACAGUAAAGAAGAUAUUGACAUAUACAGCACUCCAAAAAUAUUAAGACAUUAUAACUGCAAGUACUGUAGUCAGAAUGGGUGUCAUGAGGACUGCAGUGAAGGGAUCUGGUUUCUCUUCGGUUGUCACAGUGACUAUGGAACUGUGUUCCCAUUGGACAGCAGGGGCGGCUGCUUGAUGUGACAGGCUGCCCUGGCUCAGUUAUCUCAGUGCUGAUGCUGUCCAUCUUUAAAGUACAGUACUGUGAUAACUGAAGGAUGGCAGCCCCCUUGGCACCAGAGACGAGGCGUAAUGUGAAACUGACCUCUCAGGUGCUGAGCAGCUAAAGGAACUGAAAGCAAACCGUUUUUGUAAAUUAUGUUUUUAUUUUAGUAAACGUAUCACUGUGUGUUUUAUAUUUAUUACUAAUGCAUUUUGUUUUGUAGUCAAUUCCUGUUUCCAUCCCUAACUCCAAGCAAUCAUUGCAAUGCACUGAAUUGCAUGUGCUGUACAUCAGCGCUUUAUACAUGACCACUGAACUAAGGAGAAGCAGUCAUAGUUCCCACGAACAUGUCAUGAAAGUGCAGCUCACUUUUAAUUUUAUAAAAUCAAAACGUGAUCGUAUAACCACAAUUUCUGCUAUUAUGCUGUUUCAUGUGUCCCUUCUACUUGAAUUAUAUUAUUAUUUAACCUUUUGUUGUCCUUAAACUGGCUGUUUAAAUAAACAUUUCCACGCA